UUGAAACAUCGAUUCCCAUCUGAUCACUGAAGAUAUGCACCAUCAAGCCUGGUCAGUACCUAGAUGAGUGACUGCUUGGGAAUAUCAGGUGG
Molecule: non-coding RNA, 92 nt
Organism: Acanthosepion pharaonis
Lineage: Eukaryota; Metazoa; Mollusca; Cephalopoda; Sepiida; Sepiidae
Source: the annotation of a GenBank genome assembly